GAUGAAGAACGUAGCGAAAUGCGAUACGUAAUGUGAAUUGCAAAUUCAGUGAAUCAUCGAGUCUUUGAACGCACAUUGCGCCCCCUGGUAUUCCGGGGGGCAUGCCUGUCCGAGCGUCAUUGCUGCCCUCAAGCACGGCUUGUGUGUUGGGCCCCGUCCUCCGAUCCCGGGGGACGGGCCCGAAAGGCAGCGGCGGCACCGCGUCCGGUCCUCGAGCGUAUGGGGCUUUGUCACCCGCUCUGUAGGCCCGGCCGGCGCUUGCCGAUCAACCCAAAUUUUUAUCCAGGUUGACCUCGGAUCAGGUAGGGAUACCCGCUUAACUUAAGCAUAUCAAUAAGCGGAGGA
This 345-nucleotide unclassified non-coding RNA is filed under the name soil metagenome. RNAcentral describes it as "partial contains 5.8S ribosomal RNA, internal transcribed spacer 2, and large subunit ribosomal RNA". The stretch from base 1 to 119 matches the Rfam family "5.8S ribosomal RNA", at positions 35 to 154 of the family's 154-position model. The record is from RNAcentral.